AACAAGUACAAGUAGUUCCAUCUCCUCCUCCCACCAAAAUUUCCUUCUGCUGACGGUACGUAACUGUAACAAUGGAAGCAGAAGCCGAAAAUCAAAGACCUACAAGCAGAAAGCCAGAAGAUACUGCGUUCAAACAGCAAAGA
RNAcentral lists this non-coding RNA (143 nucleotides) under Chattonella subsalsa. Lineage: Eukaryota; Raphidophyceae; Chattonellales; Chattonellaceae. The record is from RNAcentral.